CGGCAACAGCUCAAAUUUGAAAUCUGGCCUCCUUUGGUGGUCUGAGUUGUAAUUUGCAGAGGGUGCUUUGGUGUUGUCAGCGGCCCAAGUUCCUUGGAACAGGACAUCGCAGAGGGUGAGAAUCCCGUCUAUGGUCGCCUGCCCUCACCGUGUAAAGCCCCUUCGAC
Molecule: ribosomal RNA, 167 nt
Filed under: Pseudochaetosphaeronema sp.
Lineage: Eukaryota; Fungi; Ascomycota; Dothideomycetes; Pleosporales
Description: partial large subunit ribosomal RNA
Rfam family: Eukaryotic large subunit ribosomal RNA
Source: RNAcentral